Dermochelys coriacea (leatherback sea turtle) is the source of this 1246-nucleotide long non-coding RNA. RefSeq lists it as uncharacterized. The record is from RefSeq and is a predicted model, not a curated record. NCBI's taxonomy places the organism in Eukaryota, Metazoa, Chordata, Testudines, Dermochelyidae. The transcript has 3 exons.
AUUAUCCAUUUCUAACAUCAGUUGUAAAUUGGUGCUUUGGUAACAUAUGUCAGAUAAUUUUUGUAGGGUUUAGGAAUCCAGCCUGCAAAACUUUACUGAUUCAAGUAGUAUUUGCUCAUGCAGGGAGUGCUGUUAGAGUCAACAGAACUCACGUGAGUAAAGGGUUGGAGGAUUUGACCUGUAGGAAUCAUUUCACCAGGAAUUUAACCUUCUGUUUAGAAGAAUGAGGGCGGGCAGACUGGGACUAUACAGCUGACUGCACACGAGCAAAAGAGAGAAGAGGGAAGAAAAGCAAAAAAAAAAAAAGUCAGGAGAAGCUUCUCUCCAGGCAGAAGGGAGCCCCUAGUGUCCACGAUCCAUGUGUAAAAAGGAAAAGAAAAAAAAAAGAAAACGUUUUCAGGCUGGAGGAUUUCCACAUUUCGGGGGAGGGAGAUGUGGUGGCAAAUGCCUCUUUAAAUCGCUCCACUGGGUUUUUCUUCUGAUCGGCUCGACAGGUGAGGCGUGCUGAGAUCAACCCCCUCGGAGGGAGCUCCGCUCCGCUCUGUUGUGCCUUGUGACCCAGUAGUUUGAAACCUCUUUGCAAGCACCCUGCUAUGCCAGACCACAAACAGGGAUACAGAAGCAGGUUUGGGGCUCAACUGCUCUUGGGGGCCUGGACACAACCACGGCACAGUAUGUAGGGAAUAGGUUGACCACAGACAUUCCCUCCUGGCUGCUUAAUCCAAUGGCAUAAUCCCUCCACAAAAUUGGCUGCUUUGGCCGGCUGCAGAAGGAAUGUUGUGUUAAUGAAGCUAGAAUAACUAAAGCAUUGGGAUUUUUGGCUUGAACAGUCCCAGAGUUAUAAGGCUGCACACACACUAUUUACCCAGGAUUAUUACCUCUGUUGAUCUCCCCUUUGAUCUGAUUAAAAAUUGCCUAGCAAGUAAUGGAAAUUCUACCUUGGAAUCCUGACUGGCCGGGUUGUAAUUUUAACAACUCUGAGUUGAAGGCAGGGAGACCAAGGUAUGAAGAUGCUGGAAACUGAAUUAAAGGGACACUGUCUGCAGUGUCCUUGUAGCCAGUCAGUCCCAGGAUAUUAGAGAGACAAGAAGGGUGAAGUGAUAUCUUUGAUUGGACCAAUUUCUGUUGAUGAGAGACAGAAGCUUUUGAGCUUACACAGAGCUCUUAUGCUUAAGGAUGCCACCUGCCCAGGGGUGGCAAGUUUGUAGAAAUUUUGGUGGUGCCCAGAACCCGCCCCUGCCCAAAC